GUGCUCACUUCUACAGCACAUAACUAAAAUUGAAAUGAUUCAGAGAAGAUUAGCAUGGCCCCUGUGCAAGGAUGACAUGCAAAUUCAUGAAGGUCUACAUAUUUUU
Small nuclear RNA from Cynocephalus volans (Philippine flying lemur), 106 nucleotides. The record is from RefSeq and is a predicted model, not a curated record. NCBI's taxonomy places the organism in Eukaryota, Metazoa, Chordata, Mammalia, Dermoptera, Cynocephalidae.